UUAAUCAUGCUCUAAAGACAACUAAAGAGUAAGGGUACUAUCGUCAUUGUACACAGUCGAAAGCCCAAAACCCUUUCUUCAGUCUUCCUUCCACCUGCAUCGCUUUCUUCUGCAAUUCUCGCCGGAGAGCUCCCAUCUACCUGUUGGCUGUUUUAGGCUGAGAAGAGGAUGUUGAAGUUCCUAUCAAAAGUAAAGAUCGAGUUCAACACAUUGGAUCCAAGACUCGCCUCUUGCGUCGAGUUCUUGGCUCAGUGCAACGCGAGGAAGGCCAAGGAGUCGAACCCUAACUGCCAGGUUCUGGUGAAACGCAGAACCGACGAUCAGCCACCGCAGAUCAGCGUCACGUUCGUUAAUGGUGUUGAGGAAGCUUUCGAUGCGGCUGCCACGUCGGCUCAGUCCAUCAGGAAGAUGAUUCUUGAUAAAGGGCAGUAUCUCGAGACAGAGCAGAUGUUCCGUGAAGCCGGGGAGCAGUGGCCUGUCAUCAUCCCUGAGGAAGAGAUUCACCAAGAAGCUCCUGGUGUUAAGCCGAGGAAAGCAGAAGACAAGAAGCAAUGAUAUGCUCGCUUGAUUUGGGUUUGCUCUUGUUCAGUUUGGGGUAUGUAUGACUCUUGAUAUGUGUCUCAAGCUUUGGGUUUCAGAGGUUGGUGAGGCUUGUUUUGCAAGAUGAGCCAACAUACUGGUGUGAUUUUAGGAAUAAACUUAAAGCAGAUAGAAGGAAGUAUAGCAGAUAAGGCUUUGGAUACCUAUACAUGUCCUUGGGUACUCUGUUUGAUGUGUCGGAUUAGAGCUUUUGAAUCUGACCUGAUACAUAUAUUGUUUAAGCGUUGUUCUUGAGCUUGAAAGAGAGAAUUCAUGUUUGUCAA
Brassica napus (rape) is the source of this 863-nucleotide RNA transcript. RefSeq lists it as uncharacterized. NCBI's taxonomy places the organism in Eukaryota, Viridiplantae, Streptophyta, Magnoliopsida, Brassicales, Brassicaceae. The transcript is spliced from 4 exons. The record is from RefSeq and is a predicted model, not a curated record.